UAGUGUGAUUUCAUCUUUGCCUAAGUUGAUCGUAUGAAAGCGUCUUUCAUUUGAGAGGUAUUGAAGUUGAAAGUUAUCUUUCGAUCUUUCGGGAACCUGAAAAGUAGCAACACAAGAAAAAUUCAUAUCUUGGUUAGUGGAAACAUUCCUCACUACCCUUUCCACGUCUUUUUCUUUUGUUUCUUUUUCUAAUUCAUUUUCUCUUCUUUCUUCAAUUUCUUUUUCACUCCCAAUCUCUUUUUGCUCUUUUUCAUUCUCUUUUUCUUUUUCCUCACUUGUUUUAACAGAAUUUUUCAGUUUGAUUUGGUCCUCAUGGACUUGUUCCAGAAUGAGCGGCACUAAGGUGAGUUUCUUUCCUUGAUGCUUGAAAGAAUACCUAUUGGUACGACCAUCGUGAGUGACUUUUCGAUCCAGUUGCCA
Molecule: long non-coding RNA, 420 nt
Filed under: Gossypium barbadense (sea-island cotton)
Lineage: Eukaryota; Viridiplantae; Streptophyta; Magnoliopsida; Malvales; Malvaceae
Description: long non-coding RNA (GBAR_LNC020026)
Source: RNAcentral